AAGUCGUAACAAGGUUUCCGUAGGUGAACCUGCGGAAGGAUCAUUAACACUUUUAUUAAUUUAUGAGUAAUUCUUUUUGGAUUACUUAUAGAUUUAUAACCCCAUUUUUGGAUGAAUUAUUUGUAAUUAGAAAAUUUAGGCUUGCUGUUUGAAUUUUCUAAUUAUUUUUUAUUACUCAUUUUUUUUUUAACCCCAAACAUUUUAUACAAACAAACAAAAGACUGAUAUUAUUUUUUUCUUUUUAGAUAAAGAAAAAACAAAAACAAAAAAAAAGCUAAGAAACAACUCUUAACAACGGAUAUCUUGGCUCUC
RNAcentral lists this unclassified non-coding RNA (312 nucleotides) under fungal sp. RNAcentral describes it as "partial internal transcribed spacer region". The stretch from base 1 to 46 matches the Rfam family "Eukaryotic small subunit ribosomal RNA", at positions 1786 to 1831 of the family's 1831-position model. Lineage: Eukaryota; Fungi. The record is from RNAcentral.